CAGUCGCCGCGGUAAUACGUAGGGUGCAAGCGUUAAUCGGAAUUACUGGGCGUAAAGCGUGCGCAGGCGGUUUUGUAAGACAGAGGUGAAAUCCCCGGGCUCAACCUGGGAACUGCCUUUGUGACUGCAAGGCUGGAGUGCGGCAGAGGGGGAUGGAAUUCCGCGUGUAGCAGUGAAAUGCGUAGAUAUGCGGAGGAACACCGAUGGCGAGGGCAAUCCCCUGGGCCUGCACUGACGCUCAUGCACGAAAGCGUGGGGAGCAAACAGGAUUAGAUACCCCGGUAGUCCCUGUCUCUUAUAC
This 301-nucleotide ribosomal RNA is filed under the name uncultured bacterium. Its description in RNAcentral is "partial 16S ribosomal RNA". It matches the Rfam family "Bacterial small subunit ribosomal RNA", at positions 509 to 807 of the family's 1533-position model. The record is from RNAcentral.